GGAAUAUAAAUGAUAACUGGAUGGCAUUUUACAGAAUCCUUGGGUGUCCCAGUUAUUUAGAACAGUGAGUCCUACACUGAAAACAAUAGGAAAACACUCUUAUAAGCCAUACCUUCAUUUUGCCAAUUAAAUUUUAUUAUUAAAUAAUUUUUUCCUAUGUUUUCUAAAAGAGAUAAGACUGAAUGAAACAAUCAUCCUAAAGAGAAAAGCUAGAAUUGUGUAGUGGCAUCAGGCUUACUAGUAACUCUAAAUACUACUAUGUCGUGGCGAUUAUUUAAGUUCCUUAUAGCUGCCAGAUAUUAGAUUUUUGUCAGACUUACAGUUGGCAAAUAUUUUCUCCCAUUCUGUAGGUUGUCUGUUUACUUUGUUGGUAGCUUCUUUUGCUGUGCAGAAGCUAUUGUUUUAUUAGAUUCCACUUCUCAAUUUUUGCUUUUGUUGAGAGAUAACAGAUCCUUAUAAUACUAAUUCUCCAAAGAGAGACAGUACAAAUGUCAAUGCAUUUAGAAAUCUCUCCUUUAACGGGUGUAAUAUAAUUUAGUGAUUAAGAUUGUAAGAAUAAUGCUCUGAGGAUUGAAAUAAUUGGAGAUAGGAGGAAAACAGAAAAGUGGAGGAGAUAGAAGGUUGAAGGGAAAUGUAAGAAGAGAGAGAUUGCCUUGACAUUGCUAAACUUUGGGAGCGUUUUUCUGACCUACCUGUUCUGUUCCAGGGUGUGCAGUAGUGACACUGGGAAACUGAUCAUUUUGAUUUCUGCUUUCUAGUAGAAUCAGCUCCAAGACAAAAGUAUAUAUACAUUUUCUUCCCUUUUUAAAUAAUUUAUUUAAUUUAUUUAUUUAUUUAUUUAUUUAUUUAUUUUACUUUUGACAUAUUUGUGUUACUUGUAUAUACUAUAUUAAACAGAAUCUAUCAGUCUGAUAGAACAUUAAAAGAUAUUUCUUUUAAAGGUGGAUAUAAAGGUGCAACUAAAUGCCAAUUUAGGGAUGGUACUUUUCAGAGUUGGGGCUCUGUGCUUUAACAUGUUAUACUUUGAACCAAUGGACAUUGUGGCAGACAAAGAAAUAAGUUAUUAUACUGGCAGUUGUAAUUGACCUUCAUUAUCCCCACCCCACCAAGCCGCCCUUGGCCCUGCCCUCAGGAGCCUCUGCUUGGCCUUGCUAAUUCCUCUCUUCUCCCUGAAGCUAGAGUGAGGUCCCUCUUGGCAGCCUUUGUAUCUAGAGAGAGCCGUCCAAUAGAAACAUAAGGUGAGCAACAUGCUUAAUUUUAAAAUUUCUAGUAGCUACAUUAAACAUUUUUAAGUGAAAUUAACUUUAAUAAUAAAUUUAUUUAACCCAAUAUAUCCAAAAGAUUAUCAUUUCAACAUGCAAUCCUAUUUUAAAAAUAACUAGUGAGGUACCUGACAAAAAAAAAAUCCCUUUUCAUACUAAGUCCAGAAGAUCUUUGUGUAUUUUAUACUCAUAGGACAUCUGAGUUUGGAUGUUACCUUUUUAUUGGAAAUAUGGGAUCUGCACUUAGAUUUCACUGAAUUUACAUUGAAAAGGUAGGUUCACAUACCCAAGUUGUCUCACACAUACCUAAAUGUUUUCUGGUAACUGGGUGGAGUAUCAGUUUUUAUAUUUAUCUUUGCCUUAGCUAAAAAACAAAUUAAUAGUGCAGGUCCUCAGCCGCACGCAGGCAGUUUUCUCCACGGUCCAAAUGGUUGCCCGAAUUCACCCAGACCCCGCUGUCGUCCGCUUUUUCAUGCAGACAUUCAAACAACUAGCCUCCCUUCCUCCUGGCACCCCCACCCCAUCGCCAGCACCCUCCAAACCAGUUUCCCUCCUGUCCUCAUCUCAGCCACCCAUGACUCACACACACAUCUGGCUCCCCUGGCCCACUUUUCACCUGGUCCUCAUAAUCUAUGCAUAAACAUUAACAUACCACAGAAUCAAUCUGCAUACUGAUUACUUCUGCUCUGGUCAAAUUCUUGCUUUCAGGAUCAGGAGGCUUUCUCCCCACACCAAACUGGGCCUGAGGAAAUAGUGUCUUGUCUUCCUGUCACCCCUCCCGUAGUUGCAUGUCUAAUGAGACAAGGGGUGUCUCAGGUGAAGCAGGACAGGGAGGAUGCCAGCACUUGGGUGGGAGAGGCUUGAGGAGUGCCUGUUGGGGGAUGUGUUGGGGAAGGAUGACUUUUCACAUAUGGCUCAUUGUGUCGGGAUGAUUUCGUUGUUAAAUAAGCACCUACAGGAUGAUUUCACAUUCCAUACUUCUAAGUUUUUAUAAUUUAAAUUCUUUCCGCCAGGCUGGGUUUUUUUUUUUUUCCAAACUUUAAAUCUGUGGCUAGAAUUGGUUUGAUUUACAUAAUCCUGCCCCUGAGAUUUAGCCCCACCCCUGAGAGCC
RNAcentral lists this long non-coding RNA (2373 nucleotides) under Homo sapiens (human). RNAcentral's name for it is "non-protein coding lnc-OR4F29-10:1". Lineage: Eukaryota; Metazoa; Chordata; Mammalia; Primates; Hominidae. The record is from RNAcentral.